GGCAGUUAACUGUAGCUGGGGAAAGGGGCUCAUGUGUCUUCUUCACCCAUCCCUGAGGAUCUAUUGGCUGUUAAUGCUGACCAGGGAAGGAGAGACGUUUUCUUCAAUAAUAUAAGCUACCGAAAAAAAGAAAAUAACCAUGAAGAUAAACCUAAAGAGGGAAAAGUGUUGCCCCAGUCCCACCAGCUGUGCACGAUCCUGGCUCAGAUCAUGGCAUAUCCAUGCAUUUAUCAUCCAUUCAUGAUUAUCUGCCCAUCCAUUCAUCUCCUGAGUUGCUCAUUCAUGUCUUCACUGAGGAGUCAUUCCCAUCAUUGGCCCAGCUGGAGCUCGGUCCUCGGUGCGGGCUCAUCUUGUUCGGUGGCAGGCAUCCGGGUUGGUGGAUUCUGGUGGACUCGAUCUCUCAGCAUGUUGGCAUCUUUGUGGGACUCGGGACUCUGGGAGCGAGUGAUUUGCCAUGGCUAGACAAGAGACUUGUGUCCCUGUCACAGAUUGAAUUUGGACUUAUAAUGUGAUAGGAAACAUGGAGAAAGGGGAGAGGAUUAGACCUCGAGGUUUCAGGUUCAGCAUGUCCAUGGAAGGGAAGGGACUAUGCGACACAGCUCCUGCCUCUGGAACAGAGCCAACAGGGUGAGGAUUGUCUCCAGUGCUGACGGUUGUUGUAGUCCAGCCGCACCAGGAAGUGGUCUAUCUCAGGACAACUGACAAGGUACAUUCAAGAGGAUGAAAUGAGCGAAGGUAGCCAAAACCUUGUGUGGCAGUGCUGGGGACCCUAAACUAUGUGCAAGUAUUGAUGACUCCAGCUUAGUGGUUGCUAGUACUUGUGCACCAUCAGGAUACCUGGCCUUUCCACCCUCACUGGGACCUAAGCACAUAAAGAGCAUUCAUGGGAAGAUGUCCUCAACCCCAAAGCCAAAGAAAUCCCAAAUGGAAGGAUCCAGUUAAUAUUGAUCCAGAGAUUCUGAAGAGUGGCCUGUGAGAUUCCUUCUGAAGGUCUAGUUGUAAAGGCUUGGAAUGGGCAAACACCUAGUUACAUUGCACAGAGGAGAAAACUGAAGGCUGGAAAUCUGCCAGAGGUUGGAGAUUCAACGAUGGAUGUGCUGGAUGCGGUUGCCAUGGAGUGAAACGGUUAUGGAGGAAGUAGAAAACAAGCAAAGCCACCAGGAAAGAAGAGCACUUGUCAACUGAGCAGACGGAGCAGAUGGGAGGCUGAGGCAGGAAGAGGGCUUUGAGUCUGAAACCAGCCUGGGCCACACAGCAAGUUCCCAGGCAGUCCAGCCUGCAGGAGUUCUGUGACCUGUUCUGCCCACCUGCCUCCACUGAACACUUUGAGGAUAAAACAUCCUAAUUGGCUGCUCUGACGCCCCCUGGGAUGCAUGGAGUCAGGAUUGUAGAAAUGCUCUCUUUGGGAGACAGGAUGAUAGGAUGUGACCAACCACUCCAUGACCAUGCCAUCCUGUUUUCUCCACCAUGAAGGACAGUGGCCCCUCAAAACACAAGCAAAUGGCCUCACCUUCCUCCCACUGCUGCUUCUCGGGUGCUUGGUUACAAGAAAAUUUGUUUUUAGAGUACCAUACUGGACACAAUGUAGAGAUUAACAGACCAGGAGAACCCCAGCCAUAAUGGAUGUAUCUACAUUGUAGCUCCUUCAUCUCUGGCUCCUCCAUAGAGGAGGGAGCAGUGGAGUAUAAGAGCCAGAACACCAGGAAGUCUGCCAUGAAACACUUGUCCUAGAAGAAAUUACUUAAGAACGAGCUGAACAAGGCAUUAUCAGUGGACAUGCUAAUGUGGGAGGAAGAAAUUUUCUUGGAGUCUCACCCCUAGACAAACAAGGAUAGAUAACUAAUGUCUCUGUGAGAAGGAGAGUUAUCCUCUCCAUGGGAGGAACCCAUAAUUGGUUGUUUAAUGCAAAAUGUCCAGCCUUGAAAUUAUAUAUACCCUACCAACAAAAAUGGACUCAUCAUUAUGCAUUUAUAUGUAUUUGUGUAUACAUAUACACACAUACAUACACAAAUAUAUGUAUGUAACAUGAUGAUAAAAGAAAAAGAGGCCAUCAACUUAUGAGUGAGGGAUCAUGGAAGGGAGAAUGGCUGGAAGGAGCUGGAGGGGAGAGAAGAGAAUGAAAGUGACCUAAUUCAACUCAAUUAAAAUCAUUUUUAAAAGGAAAUGAUUACAAAAUUAAAUCAUAAAU
Molecule: long non-coding RNA, 2188 nt
Filed under: Mus musculus (house mouse)
Lineage: Eukaryota; Metazoa; Chordata; Mammalia; Rodentia; Muridae
Description: RIKEN cDNA 4930414F18 gene
Source: RNAcentral